CGUGCACUUGUUCUUGCACCUGGAGAUCAGGCUCUGUGGAAAUUCCGGCGCUUCCCUCAGCUGCUUCUGCACACCAUGAGAACUGGGAGGCAAGGGAGAGGACCAAGAUGGAGAUGGCGAGGACGGUGGUGCUUUUUUUCAUCUUGAGAUGUACAGGACACCAGAAGCAGUUCAUCAGCUCUGAAUCUCUGACGCGGAGUGUGGCCGGAGACUCUUCUUAUAACUCCUGCAGUCUGCAGAGUAGUAGCUGCAGCUGCCAAGAUAAGGCAAGCAACUUAUUUGGCAACACGGCACCUGAUUCCGUUGUACCUUUUAUUCU
This 319-nucleotide unclassified non-coding RNA is filed under the name Zea mays. RNAcentral describes it as "misc RNA Zm00001eb412160". Lineage: Eukaryota; Viridiplantae; Streptophyta; Magnoliopsida; Poales; Poaceae. The record is from RNAcentral.